UGGUUACUAAUAAUGGGCUUUCAAUUUAAAAUACAACAAUAAAAACAAAACAAAAAGAUACUCGAGCCUGGUUCGUCGGCGUUAUUUGGACAUUUCCUCAGACGCUCGAGCCUCCAACGCGAACCACGAACCAAGAACGAAGUCGACACACGAACGGGUUUCUAUUUGGUCUCUAUAAAGAGUGUGCUGCUCCUUAUUAAACCAAAGAUCACAAAUGGCACAAAAAAUGUCACCACAAAAGAAUGAGGUUCAAAACCAACGAAAGCCAAUAAUCAAAAUAAUGGCCCAAAAGAGAAAAUCAAAGGCAAAUUAUAAUAGGAAAGCAAAGCACCCGGCUAUAUCCAGUUUCGGUGCAACGUCAAUGCUUUCAAUAGCAUCAUUACAGACAUUAAAGACAAGCUAACUGCUCAAGAAAAAGCCUUUCUGGAACUUGAUUGAGCUGUUUUACAACAAAAGAAUUGACAUGAAUAACAUGAAUAAGUCGAACCUUGACUUAGUAAAGUUGGUCAAGAAGUUUGAUCUAGAUACAAAGUCCUUCAAUUUUGGCACCAAAUCACAGCCAAUGCAGUGACUGAGAUUCUAGGACUUCCAAACGAAGGAAGCUCUGUCAAACUUGGCAAUGAUGGAUACACCUCUACCUUCAGAACAAGGCACUUUGGAGGAAAGUCAAAACCAACAAAAGGCAUGGUAGAAGAAGAAUUACAAAAGACAAUUGUCUUAGCAAACCAACCGAAGAAAGAAAAGGCCAAGGUAAAGCAAAAGAAGAAAAUGAAGAAGCUGAAGAAGAAGAAGAAGAAUAGGAAGACAAACAGGAAAAUGAGGUUGUUGACUACGACAAGGAUGUGGUCAGCCUAAUCUUGAUUCUGCUCUGUAUGACAUUCCUCUUUGCCAACUCAUCAUCCACUUUGCACUGGAAAAUUGUUGAGCACUGUGUGAAUCUAGAGACACUUUCAAGCUAUUUGUGGGCAAGAAUUGUUUCAACCUACAUAAAUGACUCAUUGAUAAAAAAGGUAAAAGCAAAGAAGGGAGGAGAAGCCUCUAUAGGAGUUUUUCGGGUUGCACUAUCCUAAUAUUAUUUCUACUGUGUGAGAGGACAAAUAUCAUACAACCAAUCCUUCGCAAGGAGAAAAAAAUUCCUGCAAUUCUUAAAUGGAGUCUUGUGGAACUCCACACAAGAUUCAACCAAAUAGAGGACUUAAAUGACAUAGAGUUUUUUCCAAGAGAGUGAGAAUCGGCUUCGAUCAUUGGUGGUUGUCGCUGUUGGUGGUCAUCGUUGAUUGUGGUUUACCGUGAAUGGUCGUCGCUGUGCAGUCUGAGUUUUUGGUAGUAGUGUGAAAAUGUGGAAGGCGGUUUCUCGAGGUGAAGACGAAUACUUACACGAAUGGGUAAUGACAUAUUUUGUAAAUUUGAAACUA
Prunus persica (peach) is the source of this 1415-nucleotide long non-coding RNA. RefSeq lists it as uncharacterized. The record is from RefSeq and is a predicted model, not a curated record. The transcript is spliced from 5 exons. Lineage: Eukaryota; Viridiplantae; Streptophyta; Magnoliopsida; Rosales; Rosaceae.